RNAcentral lists this small nucleolar RNA (135 nucleotides) under Chloebia gouldiae (Gouldian finch). RNAcentral's name for it is "Erythrura gouldiae (Gouldian finch) Small nucleolar RNA SNORA64/SNORA10 family (ENSEGOG00005013036.1)". It matches the Rfam family "Small nucleolar RNA SNORA64/SNORA10 family". From Rfam's summary of the family: This family belongs to the H/ACA class of small nucleolar RNAs (snoRNAs) which act as guides in the the modification of uridines to pseudouridines. This family includes the human snoRNAs U64 and ACA10 and mouse MBI-29. The record is from RNAcentral. Lineage: Eukaryota; Metazoa; Chordata; Aves; Passeriformes; Passeridae.
AAUCUCCCAAUCUGCGCGAUUGCACUUGUGUGCCGUAGUGUAAUCGUCGUAACUGGGGAGAGAGAGCAACCUGAGCUUUGGGUUCCUCAGGGAGACCCUCCCUGGUCUCCCUGAUCCUUUCAAAAUUCCACAUUU